This 253-nucleotide ribosomal RNA is filed under the name uncultured bacterium. RNAcentral's name for it is "partial 16S ribosomal RNA". It matches the Rfam family "Bacterial small subunit ribosomal RNA", at positions 524 to 776 of the family's 1533-position model. The record is from RNAcentral.
UACGAAGGGGGCGAGCGUUAUUCGGAAUCACUGGGCGUAAAGCGUGCGUAGGCUGCUUGGAAAGUUGGAAGUGAAAGCCCAGGGCUCAACCCUGGAAUUGCUUUCAAAACUACCAGGCUAGGAUUUGGGAGAGGAUAGCGGAAUUGUCAGUGUAGCAGUGAAAUGCGUAGAUAUUGACAGGAACACCAGUGGCGCAAGCGGCUAUCUGGACCAACAUCGACGCUGAGGCACGAAAGCGUGGGGAUCAAACAGG